UACGUAGGUGGCAAGCGUUGUCCGGAAUUAUUGGGCGUAAAGCGCGCGCAGGCGGUCCUUUAAGUCUGAUGUGAAAGCCCACGGCUCAACCGUGGAGGGUCAUUGGAAACUGGGGGACUUGAGUGCAGAAGAGGAAAGCGGAAUUCCACGUGUAGCGGUGAAAUGCGUAGAGAUCAUGAGGAAGACCAGUGGCGAAGGCGGGUCUCUGGACAGUUCCUGACACUGAGGCACGAAGGCCAGGGGAGCAAACGGG
This 253-nucleotide ribosomal RNA is filed under the name uncultured bacterium. Its description in RNAcentral is "partial 16S ribosomal RNA". It matches the Rfam family "Bacterial small subunit ribosomal RNA", at positions 524 to 776 of the family's 1533-position model. The record is from RNAcentral.